UGGGGAAUAUUGGGCAAUGGGCGAAAGCCUGACCCAGCGACGCCGCGUGGGUCAUGAAGGCCUUCGGGUUGUAAAGCCCUGUCAUGCGGAAAGAACGACCCUGAGACGCAUACUCUCAGGGAGUGACGGUACCGCAGGAGGAAGCACCGGCUAACUCCGUGCCAGCAGCCGCGGUAAUACGGAGGGUGCAAGCGUUGUUCGGAAUUAUUGGGCGUAAAGGGCGCGUAGGCGGUAAUGUAAGUCAGAUGUGAAAUACUCCGGCCCAACCAGAGAACAGCAUCUGAAACUGCAUAACUAGAGUACAGAAGAGGGAAACGGAAUUCCCGGUGUAGAGGUGAAACUCGUAGAUAUCGGGAGGAACACCAGUGGCGAAGGCGGUUUCCUGGUCUGAUACUGACGCUGAGGCGCGAAAGCGUGGGGAGCAAACAG
RNAcentral lists this ribosomal RNA (429 nucleotides) under uncultured bacterium. RNAcentral describes it as "bacterial SSU rRNA". It matches the Rfam family "Bacterial small subunit ribosomal RNA", at positions 355 to 775 of the family's 1533-position model. The record is from RNAcentral.